UACGUAGGUGGCAAGCGUUAUCCGGAAUUACUGGGCGUAAAGCGCACGCAGGCGGUCUUUUAAGUUUGACGUGAAAGCUCCCGGCUUAACUGGGAGAGGUCGUUGAAGACUGGGAGACUUGAGGCAAUGAGAGGGGUGUAGAAUUCCUGGUGUAGUGGUGGAAUGCGUAGAUAUCAGGAGGAAUACCAGUGGCGAAAGCGGCACCCUAGCGUUGUUCUGACGCUCAUGUGCGAAAGCGUGGGGAGCGAACGGG
This 253-nucleotide ribosomal RNA is filed under the name uncultured bacterium. RNAcentral describes it as "partial 16S ribosomal RNA". It matches the Rfam family "Bacterial small subunit ribosomal RNA", at positions 524 to 776 of the family's 1533-position model. The record is from RNAcentral.